CAUGCAUUCAUUUUCUUGAAAUGCAUCAACAUCUUUUCCAACUUGUUUCCUCCCAUUCUUUAUUGUGAUGUCGCUCUUGCGGUCAUCUUUGGACCUUAAUAAAAUGUUCAACUUUAUACUUUUUAAUCUCACCAUUCUUUGAUGAUCUCAACAUAAUACUCACACACAAUAUCUCUAGAGAGAGAAUAAAGGUUGAGAGAUUUUGAUCAGAGAGAGAUGGAUGAUUCUAUGGGAGCUGGAAUAAUGGCUGUCAUUGCAGUCUCCGGAAGCAUAGUGUUUUUCUCUCUUCAAGCUCAUAAGCGCCUCCUCUCUGAUUUCAUGGAGAAGAUUGAAUUUGAACUAGGGUCUGGACAAGAUGAAAGAAAGAAGAGGGUUAGAUUUUGCUCCCUGCAGGUGGAGAAUAAGGAUAGAAAAUUUGGUGAGAUAAAGAAGAAAAAUUGGUCGAAUAACUCAAGGGUAUUGAGGGAUAAUGGUAAGCAUGGACAAAUGGAGGAGGGUUCAAUGCCUAGGAACUGGCAAGCUUUGUACAAAGGAAUUUUGCAGUACAGGAAGCUGUCCACUCCUUGUAUUUAACUCCCACUUUUCUUUCUAUUCUUCUUCUUUAAGUUUGCUGUUUAUAAAUCAAGAAUUAUAUGGUGCAGCUCAAAUGUAUGUAUCAACACUUUAGAUUUGUACUGUGCCUUUGAUCAAUGGCCUGCUUAUUUGAGUUGUUAAAAGUAAA
Long non-coding RNA from Daucus carota subsp. sativus, 721 nucleotides. RefSeq lists it as uncharacterized. Lineage: Eukaryota; Viridiplantae; Streptophyta; Magnoliopsida; Apiales; Apiaceae. The record is from RefSeq and is a predicted model, not a curated record. The transcript is spliced from 2 exons.